AUUGAACGCUGGCGGCAUGCCUUACACAUGCAAGUCGAACGGCAGCACGGGAGCAAUCCUGGUGGCGAGUGGCGAACGGGUGAGUAAUAUAUCGGAACGUGCCCGGUCGUGGGGAUAACGUAGCGAAAGCUACGCUAAUACCGCAUACGAUCUACGGAUGAAAGCGGGGGAUCGCAAGACCUCGCGCGAUUGGAGCGGCCGAUAUCAGAUUAGGUAGUUGGUGAGGUAAAGGCUCACCAAGCCAACGAUCUGUAGCUGGUCUGAGAGGACGACCAGCCACACUGGAACUGAGACACGGUCCAGACUCCUACGGGAGGCAGCAGUGGGGAAUUUUGGACAAUGGACGCAAGUCUGAUCCAGCCAUUCCGCGUGCAGGAUGAAGGCCCUCGGGUUGUAAACUGCUUUUGUACGGAACGAAACGGUGAGCUCUAAUACAGUUUGCUAAUGACGGUACCGUAAGAAUAAGGAUCGGCUAACUCCGUG
This 483-nucleotide ribosomal RNA is filed under the name uncultured bacterium. Its description in RNAcentral is "bacterial SSU rRNA". It matches the Rfam family "Bacterial small subunit ribosomal RNA", at positions 30 to 507 of the family's 1533-position model. The record is from RNAcentral.